This 253-nucleotide ribosomal RNA is filed under the name uncultured bacterium. RNAcentral's name for it is "partial 16S ribosomal RNA". It matches the Rfam family "Bacterial small subunit ribosomal RNA", at positions 524 to 776 of the family's 1533-position model. The record is from RNAcentral.
UACGUAGGCAGCAAGCGUUGUUCGGAGUUACUGGGCGUAAAGGGUGCGUAGGCGGCCUUAUAAGUAUGGUGUGAAAUCUCCCGGCUUAACUGGGAGGGUGCGCUAUAGACUGUGGGGCUAGAGUGCGGGAGAGGAAAGUGGAAUUCCUGGUGUAGCGGUGAAAUGCGUAGAUAUCAGGAGGAACACCGGUGGUGUAAACGGCUUUCUGGACCAUAACUGACGCUGAGGCACGAAAGCGUGGGUAGCAAACAGG